Molecule: ribosomal RNA, 253 nt
Filed under: uncultured bacterium
Lineage: Bacteria
Description: partial 16S ribosomal RNA
Rfam family: Bacterial small subunit ribosomal RNA
Source: RNAcentral
UACGGAGGGUGCAAGCGUUAUCCGGAUUCCCUGGGUUUAAAGGGUGCGUAGGCGGGUAAGUAAGUCCGUGGUGAAAUCUCUGAGCUUAACUCAGAAACUGCCGUGGAUACUAUUUGCCUUGAAUAUUGUGGAGGUGAGCGGAAUAUGUCAUGUAGCGGUGAAAUGCUUAGAUAUGACAUAGAACACCAAUUGCGAAGGCAGCUCACUACACAAUCAUUGACGCUGAGGCACGAAAGCGUGGGGAUCAAACAGG